RNAcentral lists this ribosomal RNA (253 nucleotides) under uncultured bacterium. RNAcentral describes it as "partial 16S ribosomal RNA". It matches the Rfam family "Bacterial small subunit ribosomal RNA", at positions 524 to 776 of the family's 1533-position model. The record is from RNAcentral.
UACGUAGGGGGCAAGCGUUGUCCGGAAUCAUUGGGCGUAAAGCGCGUGUAGGCGGCUCGAUAAGUCUGCUGUGAAAGUCCAGGGCUCAACCCUGGAAUGCCGGUGGAAACUGUCGAGCUAGAGUCCGGAAGAGGCGAGUGGAAUUCCUGGUGUAGCGGUGAAAUGCGCAGAUAUCAGGAGGAACACCAAUGGUGAAGGCAGCUCGCUGGGACGGUACUGACGCUGAGACGCGAAAGCGUGGGGAGCAAACAGG